Molecule: ribosomal RNA, 416 nt
Filed under: uncultured bacterium
Lineage: Bacteria
Description: bacterial SSU rRNA
Rfam family: Bacterial small subunit ribosomal RNA
Source: RNAcentral
GAGGAAUAUUGGGCAAUGCCCGCAAGGGUGACCCAGCAACGCCGCGUGGAGGAUGAAUGUCGUAAGAUUGUAAACUCCUGUUAGAGGGGAAGAAUAGUACCGGUUGGACCGGUAUAUGACUGUACCCUCAGAGAAAGCCCCGGCUAACUACGUGCCAGCAGCCGCGGUAAUACGUAGGGGGCAAGCGUUGUCCGGAUUUACUGGGUGUAAAGGGCGCGCAGGCGGGAUAAAAAGUCAGUGGUGAAAUCCUACAGCUUAACUGUAGAAUUGCCUGUGAUACUUUUCUUCUGGAGUUCGGGAGAGGGAGACUGAAGUCCAGGUGUAGUGGUGAAAUACGUAGAUAUCUGGAAGAACACCAGUUGCGAAGGCGGUCUCUUGGUCCGACGCUGACGCUGAGGCGCAAAAGCGUGGGGAGC